AUAAAAGUGAUAUUGAUUCUGUUUUAAAUGUUAGUAUAAAUUAGCUUUAAUUUUUAUAUUAUAUAUGAGUUUUUGCGUGGAAAUUAUUUAUCUUAAUGAUUAUUUAUUGAUUUAUUUGUAGUUUUUUAUUUUAUUAAUUAUGUAAUUAUAGAUUUAGUAAAAAAUUUUAGGAUUGUUUAAGGUUGUGCCAGCAUACGCGGUUAUACAUUCAAUUCAAGUUAAUUUUUUUGGUAUAUUUAUUAAUUUAUUUUAUUGAAGUUUAAAAUUUAAAUUAUAAAGUGAAAUUUUAAUUUAUAAAAUAUUCUUUUGGUAGGAGAUUAUAAGAAAUUUAGUUUUUAGACUAGGAUUAGAUACCCUAUUAUUCUAAUCAUACAAAGUACCGUUGACAAUUAAAAAGGAUAGGCCCAGGCGAAUAAUUGU
RNAcentral lists this ribosomal RNA (420 nucleotides) under Zicca taeniola. RNAcentral's name for it is "partial small subunit ribosomal RNA". The record is from RNAcentral. Lineage: Eukaryota; Metazoa; Arthropoda; Insecta; Hemiptera; Coreidae.